Molecule: unclassified non-coding RNA, 272 nt
Filed under: uncultured fungus
Lineage: Eukaryota; Fungi
Description: sequence contains ITS1
Source: RNAcentral
GUGUUUGUGUUUUUUUUUCUUCGUUUUUCCGAAAAAAUUCAGACAAAUGUCCAAUAUGGAGGGUGUUUCUUUGGAAGAAUAUGUAAAACGCCGAGGAGGAUCCCAACAAGCCCAAACCCGCCGGCGCGCCCACCUCCCACCGGAAGGAAGGGAGAACGGGGCGCGCCGGGAGGAGAGCGAGCGAGAGACCCUCCUGCGACUCCAACAGUGCACACGGGGUGGAGAGGUAACACGGAUUGGUGAUGAUCCAUCAGCAGGUUCACCUACAGAUA